RNAcentral lists this ribosomal RNA (422 nucleotides) under uncultured bacterium. RNAcentral's name for it is "bacterial SSU rRNA". It matches the Rfam family "Bacterial small subunit ribosomal RNA", at positions 355 to 774 of the family's 1533-position model. The record is from RNAcentral.
UGAGGAAUAUUGGGCAAUGCCCGCAAGGGUGACCCAGCAACGCCGCGUGGAGGAUGAAUGUCGUAAGAUUGUAAACUCCUGUUAGAGGGGAAGAAUAGUACCGGUUGGACCGGUAUAUGACUGUACCCUCAGAGAAAGCCCCGGCUAACUACGUGCCAGCAGCCGCGGUAAUACGUAGGGGGCAAGCGUUGUCCGGAUUUACUGGGUGUAAAGGGCGCGCAGGCGGGAUAAAAAGUCAGUGGUGAAAUCCUACAGCUUAACUGUAGAACUGCCUUUGAUACUUUUAUUCUUGAGUUCGGGAGAGAGAGACGGAAUUCCAGGUGUAGUGGUGAAAUACGUAGAUAUCUGGAAGAACACCAGUUGCGAAGGCGGUCUCUUGGUCCGACACUGACGCUGAGGCGCAAAAGCGUGGGGAGCGAACA